GGGCCAAUCGUAUAGUGGCUUAUUAUGCUGUCUUAGGGCACACUCGUAUUCGCAAGCACUAAGUUGACAGAGGUCCCCGGUUCGAUUCCGGGUUGGCCCC
RNAcentral lists this transfer RNA (100 nucleotides) under Mycosarcoma maydis (corn smut). Its description in RNAcentral is "tRNA-Pro for anticodon AGG". Lineage: Eukaryota; Fungi; Basidiomycota; Ustilaginomycetes; Ustilaginales. The record is from RNAcentral.